CUCUUCGGAGAUACUCGAGUGGCGAACGGGUGAGUAACACGUGGGUAAUCUGCCCUGCACAUCGGGAUAAGCCUGGGAAACUGGGUCUAAUACCGAAUAGGACCACGAGAUGCAUAUCUUGUGGUGGAAAGCUUUUGCGGUGUGGGAUGGGCCCGCGGCCUAUCAGCUUGUUGGUGGGGUGACGGCCUACCAAGGCGACGACGGGUAGCCGGCCUGAGAGAGUGUCCGGCCACACUGGGACUGAGAUACGGCCCAGACUCCUACGGGAGGCAGCAGUGGGGAAUAUUGCACAAUGGGCGCAAGCCUGAUGCAGCGACGCCGCGUGGGGGAUGACGGCCUUCGGGUUGUAAACCUCUUUCACCAUUGACGAAGGUUCGGGUUUUCUCGGAUUGACGGUAGGUGGAGAAGAAGCACCGGCCAACUACGUGCCAGCAGCCGCGGUAAUACGUAGGGUGCGAGCGUUGUCCGGAAUUACUGGGCGUAAAGAGCUCGUAGGUGGUUUGUCGCGUUGUUCGUGAAAUCUCACGGCUUAACUGUGAGCGUGCGGGCGAUACGGGCAGACUGGAGUACUGCAGGGGAGACUGGAAUUCUGGUGUAGCCGGUGGAAUGCGCAGAUAUCAGGAGGAACACCGGUGGCGAAGCGGUCU
RNAcentral lists this ribosomal RNA (647 nucleotides) under uncultured earthworm intestine bacterium. Its description in RNAcentral is "bacterial SSU rRNA". It matches the Rfam family "Bacterial small subunit ribosomal RNA", at positions 76 to 728 of the family's 1533-position model. The record is from RNAcentral.